CAAUUACUAAGAAGAUCAGAACUUUAGUUUUUUUUUUUGUUUCUUUGUCUAGCAGUAGCCACAUGAUAUUAUGAGAUUGGAUAGUAUCACUGUAGACAAAUAACAUUUUUGAAUUAUUUUAAUAUUAAUCCGUCAAUUUGAUUUCAACAUUAUAUUGCAAAAAUUGAUGUAAAAAGUAAACAUUCUUUUGAUUUUAAUUGGAUAACUUUUGAGUUACGGACUAGUUUUGGAAGCUACGUCUUUACCAUCGUCACCUUCUUCUUCCACCACAUAAUGUUUUGUUGCAAUUUAUGUAAAUUUCAAGUGCGAUUUAAAAUGCCCCGUAUUUAUAAUAAAUAAAUAUGGGAUCUCUAGAUAUAAAUGCUGUCUUAUAAUAAGUGCAUAUUGUUAACUGGAUGAUAAACAGUUGUCCGAAAAAAAUUAUAAUUGAGUAACGUGGCCCAGUCACAUACUUAGAUACUGCACGAUGAAUAAAAUCCUUCUCAACGUGAUUUUGCAUAACAAAUCGUGAUUUACUUUCGAUAAAUUACCUUCAUUCACUUGCUUUGUUUGGCUUUACUUUCAGAUGCAGGUGAAGCAAUUUUACUAUUCAAUAUAGUAAUAUUUAGUGUUAGCCUAUUAAAGCACCUAUUGGAAUAUUACGCUUUCAAAUCGCUAUAAUUUGAUUUAUUAUAAUUUUUUGAUAACUGCCGCUACCACCCCCAACAUGCUCUUAUCAUCGUUUCGUGCAACAUUUUUUAACUACGUUUAUAUCAUGAGUAUUAAUAAUAGAGAAUUAAAAAGCCGUAAAAUAGCAGCAUUCAUAACAUGUAACCAAAAACAAAAAGUUUCCUAGGUGACCACUAUUAUUAAUUUUUAUUAUUUUUGGUUAUCUAAUUAACGAAAAUAACAAUAUUAUAUUCUUUCAAUACGUAUUAAAGUCUGUUUUUGUUUGGCCGUCGGAUUUUAG
This is a non-coding RNA of Cinara cedri, 949 nucleotides long. NCBI's taxonomy places the organism in Eukaryota, Metazoa, Arthropoda, Insecta, Hemiptera, Aphididae. The record is from the annotation of a GenBank genome assembly.